AUGCGUCGUGUCGAAGAGCUCUCGCAGCAUCUGGUGUCCGGCCGGAUCAAACUCCCACAUAUUGAAUGCCCAUCUUUGACACGGGAGGAUCCGACGGACGAGCAUGACCUGAACCACGUUGACAAGCUUGAUUUUCUUGUCCUUCAUACUCUUGAUACAGGUCUCGAGUCCGGUCAGCUCUGCGGGUUCGCCCUAGGACAGGCCCUUCUUUUCCCAGGAAGUGAACCGCAUGGGGAUCCCGGACCAGAAUUUGGGCGCCGCCGCCCAGUUGGUGUCAUGCGGCUCGGUGAUGUAGAACCACAUCGAUUGCCACCCUUUCACGGUCUCCACAAAGGAGCCAUCAAGCCAUGUAAUGUUGGGCAUCCUGCCCACCUUGGCGCCUCCGCACUCCGCCUGCUGGCCGCUAACGAUCUUCGGCUUCACACAGAAGAUUUGCAGCCACAGGCCGAAGUGGGGCGUGAUGCAGAGGAAGGCCUCGCACACGAUGAUAAACGCCGAGAUGUUGAGCACAAAAUUUGGGGAUAG
This 525-nucleotide ribosomal RNA is filed under the name Triticum aestivum (bread wheat). Its description in RNAcentral is "partial small subunit ribosomal RNA". Lineage: Eukaryota; Viridiplantae; Streptophyta; Magnoliopsida; Poales; Poaceae. The record is from RNAcentral.